Molecule: long non-coding RNA, 4508 nt
Filed under: Marmota monax (woodchuck)
Lineage: Eukaryota; Metazoa; Chordata; Mammalia; Rodentia; Sciuridae
Source: RNAcentral
UGUCACUGUGCCAAUGGCACGAAUGUCGAGUGCGCCAACCACUUGUCUUAACGUGCGCGCUUACUAAGGGCAAAGCACUGCUCCAAGCAAAAAGGACAGGGCCCUGCGAGGGGCUGAGCUUCUCCUGAGAGUCACAGCAAGUUCACAACAAGUGAGGUCAUUUCAGACAGUAAGUGUCACAGACAAAGUUGUGCAAUGAGGUAAUGGUGGGGUGGUGGUUGCUUUAUCCAGAACGGUCAGGAAGCGUCUGUUGCUGAGCCAUUUCUUGCAGCCAUCUGCAUGGUGAAGUGGUAGCCAUGAGAAUGGCUGGAAAGUGGGUGCUUCAAGGGCCAGGAACGGAAGGCCAAGGCCCAGCCAGGAACACCUGGGCCUGCUCCAGGGAAGGAAGGGAGCCUGAGCAGCUGGACUGUGGUCAGGGAGGCAGGGAGAGGGAGAUGAGGUCACGGGUGGGGCAGGUGUUAGGUCCCAGGGACUUUGUAGGAGUUUGGAUUUUUUUCUUGUUGCAAGAAGAAGCCACUGGGAAGAUUUUUUUAAAAAAAAAUCUGAGAUAAAUCAUUUAUUUUCAGAAAAGGCAAACUCCUAUAGUUGUAUGUACAACAGGAGAACACUCAACAAAGUAAUUAGUUUUUAAAAUCUUGUUUACACCAAGGUAUGACAGAUUAACAUAACCCAUUUCUUAGCUUUAAUUGUCAUUAUUUAUUUUUCAAACAAUUCUAUGAGAUAUAAAGCAAAUAUAUUCAUUUUUCAUAAAGAAAUAUUUUUAAACAUUUAUUGUAUUAUUUUUAUAUUUAUUUGCCAGAUGCAUUAAAUGAGGCAAAAAUACAAACCAUUUUGCUUUUGUUUCUGGACUUACCAUGGGGUGAGGACCCAGGAAACCCAUCUGCAGUUGAAAAUGCCAUAAGAGAAACAAGUGCUAACACACCUACCCACUCAGGGCACACCUAGCAACAGUACCCCGUGACUGAGAGGCUGACUGGCGCUCACUGCUGAUCUUGUUACCACUGGUCCAGGAAAAGCUCAGGAUUCAGAAUGUGAAUCAUGGCUCCUACUGAACACACACCACUUUGGCACCCCUGUAAAGCUGACUCCCCAAAGUUGGGGAUCAUGGGUGCUGGAGGGCAAGAGCUGUGCUGGAUCUACUGACCUUGAACCUCCCGUCUGGUGGGGACCUUCCCAGGUGACCAGGAGAGCUGCAGUGAGCUGAACGGUGACCUCCAAGACGCAUGUUCACUGGGAACCUCAGCACGUGCCCUUGUCUGGAAACAGGGUCUUUGCAGAUGUAGUAAAGUAAAGAUGGAGAUGAAGUCAUCCUGGAUUAGGGUGGGCUCUGAGUCCCUGGAGAGUGUCCUCAGGAGAGACAGACAAGGGCACACAGAGUCCUACAGAGAAGGGAACCUGAUGGUGGAGGGAGUGAUGUCUGUGAGCCUGGAAACACCAAGGGAGCCCCGGGACCCUUGUUCCCCGGGGUCUCCAGAAGGAGCCAACCUUGUGGAUACCUGGGUUCUGGACUUCUGGCCUCCUGAACUGGGAGAAACAAGCAGUUUUUUGCACCACUGGGUUUGUGGCACUCCAUGAAUACAGGAGUGGUGUGAUCUGAUGGGUGCUGUAGAUCAUCAAGGCUGUGGUCCAGAGGUGAACUCCUGGCCCAGGCCAGGGCAGCAGGCUGGGGUUGCAGUAGUCCAGUCUGAGAUGAAAUGCUCAGAUGUGGCCGUGCUGGUCAGGUGCUGAGAAGCCCUGGGGCUCAAGGUGUGCUGGGAAGUAGGCCUUGACUUUACCUGUGGGGUGGACGUGGUGGGAAGGCUCAGAUGGGGUUUGUGGUCUACACCAUAGUCAGGAUUUGUGGGGCUGCUGCUUGGGGACCUGAGUUGGGAGGGAGAAUGAUGGUUUGCUUGUGCCAAGGGAGGGAUUCCUGUUGGAACCAAGGUGGAGGUACCUAGCUGGCAGGUGGACUGUACCCGUCGAGGGCUUUAGGGAGAAGUCGGCUUAGGGAGGAGGCCCCUGGGAAAGUCAUCUGUACAGGGCGAUAUCUGUCUGGGGACUAAAGGAGAGAAUAGAUGUGGGAGAGGGAACAGGCAAUGUCAGUGUCCAGGGGACUAGAGUGAAGGCCAGCACAUGGGAAGGGACGGGAGAAAUCCAGGUGCAGGUGGACCGUGUAAGUCUCCUGGAGCAGGUAUUUCCAGAAGGGAGGGUCGAGUGUGAACAAGACAAAGUGUCUGCCCUGGCUCCGGGUGGCUGUCACCUAUGCAGGGAGGAGGGGCCACAGAUACUUGACUGGGAGGUGAGGGUGGGAUAGCUGCCUCCGAAGCUCUUGGGAGAAGUUUCCCUCUGGAAGGAAGCAUAGAAAUGGCUCAGAGAUGGUGUGGGACCUGGGGAGAAAAGGGGCCAUGGCAGGGAGCUGUCCUUGAGGAGCUGGGGUGUGGCUCGGGAGUGUGCAGGGCUGUCCUGCAGCUGUAUCCAAGGAAGUCAGAUGGGGACCCUGCAGUGAGGGUCGACCCCCUGCAGCCCCUGUGGGAAGGCACCCCCAGCUUCAGACACAUUUGUUUCUGAACAUACCUCUUUGUUGAGGGCUGAGGACCACUGCAUGCCUACCUUCCAUGACCACCCACCCUUCUGCAGGGCAUGGGGGAGUCUCUCUGCCAUACCCUUCUAAGACCAGGGCCUGAUGGCAUUCCUGUCCCUGGGAAGGUGGGCUACUUCUUGCUCCUCCUCUUUGAAAUAAAGCUAAUGGCAAAACCCUUCCAGGCUUCUCAUUAGAGACUGGGCACCUCCCUCUGCACUCACCCUUGAGGGGCUCUCAGACUUCCCUCUUGCCCCAGUGCCCUUAUGGGGUUUAUCUUGGGGACCACUGUUUCUCACAUGGAUUCUUCCUUAAGAAAGAGAGAAAAAAGCUUCCCUAAGUUUAACCUUAACUAAUAAAAUGAUCUGGUUUGCCCUCUUUAAAAAAAUGAUUUAUAAUUUUUAUUAUGAGUUAUUUUUUCCUCCACAUUUUUAAUGAUACGUUGUAGUUGUACAUAAUGGUGGGGUUUGUUGCUAUAAUUAGUACAUGCACACAGCAGUUUUACUUCAUAGAACAUUUUUUUUUUUUUUUGGAGUUUGCGUAGUCCCCUAGUCCCACAAAAUAUCCUGUCCCUGGGACAGUGGGACCAGUUUUGGACAUCCUGCAUAUGAAAGGGUCAAAAAGUUCUGCAGCUAAAAACACCUUUGUCUCUGUUUUAUCCAACAUUUCUCAAACAUAUUUGACCCCCAAACAGUGCCCACCACAAUAUUUUUUUGGGAAAUUUCUGCUUAUAUAGCCAGUUUAUAAGAAAUACAGUAAUUUUCAUUUUUCACCUGAUCCAAAGGACCUUUUAAAAUAUUUUUAGUAAUUUUACAAGUAAUUUGAAGAAGUAAGAAUGAAAGGAGGUGAAAAACAGCUCUAAUGGGAAUUUUGACACUGGAAUUGAACCACACAGGUUCAGUUUCUGCUCCGUGUUCUGGUUUUGAAGGUGCACAGGCCCUGGGUGGGCCCGACUCUGGAUCACAUUUCCAAGAUGGGAAACACUGAGUCAGCCUUCCAGUGAUCUCUAGAAGGUUCUUGCUUCUGCCUCUCUGGCUACCUGAAUUGUGAAAGCAUGUAGGAAUCAUUUGAAGUCUUCCAUAACAUAUUUUUCUUAAAAGGAAGAUGGUCAUUUUUGCUUCAUAAUUGCAAAACAUUUUCAUUUUUGGGUCUAUAAAUACCAAUCAAGAUGAUCAACCCAGCAUGACUACUGUUUUCCUGCCAGUCCUCUUUGUAUGCACACCUGCUUUCAACAUUUGCUACAAAACACAUCAAGUAGAUGUCAGGGUGCAAACCUCAUAAGAGGAAGAAGUACCCCACAUACUUUUUCAGCCAGAUGGCAUGGUCCAGGCUCUGGACAAAGAUUGGCAUGAUGCAGCCCUUCUAGGUGGAUGACCACCUGGAGAAUACCGUGCUUGCUUUUGGUCCACAGAAAUAUUUUAUUCUCCCAUCACGUUUUGAGUUAGAAAAACUCUUUGCGUCUGAUGUCACGUUUAGUCUUCGGGUCUGAGAUUGCCUUAUGUAAUCAAUUUCACCACUGUCACUGGAAUCUAGACACCUGUGAUCUCCUUGAGUCCAUCUGAUUUAUCUAAGAUUUGUGAAACAUCUUCCUUUAUUUUUCUCUUUGAUCUUAUAAACUGAAAGUAAAGAAAUUCAGAAUUUCCAACUGUGCCCAACGCAAACUAACUUCAGAUUAGAAAGAUGGGAUCUUUCACAUCUUGGCCUCUCGCCCAGCAACAGGACAGCAAGAAUGAGAAGACAGAAAUGGCUGUCUUCUCCCUCCAGUGCCUCAUUGUUUCUUUGAGAAUGAUUUGCAAUAGUUCAUGGAUAAUAAUGAAUUAGCAAGAACGUAUCAAGACACAGGGAAAAUAAUGACCCUCAGCUCAGCAGAGGUAGGUAAAAUAAUGACCCUAAGCUAAAUGUGGUGGCACAUGCCAUAAUCCCAGUAGUUUGGGAGGCUAAGGCAGGAGGA